This 118-nucleotide ribosomal RNA is filed under the name Candidatus Omnitrophota bacterium. Lineage: Bacteria; Pseudomonadati; Candidatus Omnitrophota. The record is from RNAcentral.
CCCGGUAGUUAUAGCGGAGGGGCCACACCCGAUUCCCAUUUCGAAUACGGUAGUUAAGCCCUCCAUCGCCGAUGGUACUGCUUGGGCGACUGAGUGGGAGAGUAGGUAGCUGCCGGGU